RNAcentral lists this ribosomal RNA (402 nucleotides) under uncultured bacterium. RNAcentral describes it as "bacterial SSU rRNA". It matches the Rfam family "Bacterial small subunit ribosomal RNA", at positions 355 to 774 of the family's 1533-position model. The record is from RNAcentral.
UCGGGAAUUUUGGGCAAGGGGCGAAAGCCUGACCCAGCAACGCCGCGUGAGGGAUGAAGUAUUUCGGUAUGUAAACCUCGAAAGAAUGGGAAGAAUAAAUGACGGUACCAUUUAUAAGCUCCGGCUAACUACGUGCCAGCAGCCGCGGUAAUACGUAGGGAGCAAGCGUUGUUCGGAUUUACUGGGCGUAAAGGGCGCGUAGGCGGCGCGGUAAGUCACUUGUGAAAUCUCUGAGCUUAACUCAGAGCGGCCAAGUGAUACUGCUGUGCUAGAGUGCGGAAGAGGCAACCGGAAUUCUUGGUGUAGCGGUGAAAUGCGUAGAUAUCAAGAGGAACACCUGAGGCGAAGGCGGGUUGCUGGGCCGACACUGACGCUGAUGCGCGAAAGCCAGGGGAGCAAACG